RNAcentral lists this unclassified non-coding RNA (207 nucleotides) under Glomeraceae sp. RNAcentral's name for it is "partial contains 5.8S ribosomal RNA and internal transcribed spacer 2". The stretch from base 1 to 72 matches the Rfam family "5.8S ribosomal RNA", at positions 84 to 154 of the family's 154-position model. Lineage: Eukaryota; Fungi; Glomeromycota; Glomeromycetes; Glomerales; Glomeraceae. The record is from RNAcentral.
GUGAAUCAUCGAAUUUUUGAACGCAAAUUGCACUCUCUGGUUUUCCGGGAGAGUAGGCUUGUUGGAGGGCCAGCCUAAUAAAAAUCGACAUUGUUGCUGCCUUAUGGUGUCUCUCGCCGGAUAUGGGUCAUCUUAAAUUCCGUUAAAAGAGAUUUAAAAUUUCUUUUUAUUUUCCUAAGAAUUUUUCUAAUUUUUCUCUCGUUUGCU